Pan troglodytes (chimpanzee) is the source of this 2274-nucleotide long non-coding RNA. RefSeq lists it as uncharacterized. The record is from RefSeq and is a predicted model, not a curated record. Lineage: Eukaryota; Metazoa; Chordata; Mammalia; Primates; Hominidae. The transcript has 2 exons.
AUCACGUGACCACCAGGCAUAGUCACAUGUUGUCAAACAUGGCUACCUACAGCACCACCAUAGAAGAGAUGGAAGUGAGUUCUUCUGCAGCACCCCAGAGCCGGCCUGCAGUCAGGAAGGCCUCCCCAGAGGCAUCCACGAAGCUGCCUGCCAACCUGGGUGCCCCAGGCAUGGGCCCCUCUAAGCCUGCCCUAGGAGGAGAACAGUUUGUGUGACACAGGGGGCGGAGGCUGGGUCUGAAUCCUUUUUUUUUUUUUGAGACAGAGUUCGCUCUGUCGCCCAGGCUGGAGUGCAGUGGUGCAAUCUCACCUCACUGCAACCUCCGCCUCCCGAGUUCAAGCGAUUCUCCUGCCUCAGCCUCUCUAGUAGCUGGGAUUGCAGGUGUGCAUCAUCACGCCUGGCUAAUUUUUGUAUUUUUUAGCAGAGACGGGGUUUCUCCAUAUUGGGCAGGCUGGUCUGAACUCCUGACCUCAGGUGAUUCGCCCACCUCAGCCUCUCAAAAUGCUGGGAUUACAAGCGUGAGCCACCGCGCCCAGCUGGGUCUGAAUCUUUAACAGUUCCCCUCCGCUCCUGGAGCCCCUCCCACAGCCAGCCCUUGCUCACCAGCGGGGGAACCAACAGCCCCUUCCUCACCCCUACAUACCCCUCCUGGGGAUUGGGGUCUCUCUCCACAAUACCAGUGCUGGGACGCAUCCCUCGUCUUCUCUGCUCCUUUCCGUCGUCCGGAGGCCUAGGCCCAGUCAUCCAGCCAGCCUCCACCCAGCUCCUCUCCCUGCACACAAAGACUGACCCCAUCAAGCUGCACUUCCUGAAACACACCCACAAACGAGAAACUCAGCCUCCCCUUUGCCCACAGGAUGCCCAUGGGCAAAACUGUCACCAAGAGAAGAGAGGAGGGGCCCAAACCGGCUCUGUCUCUGUGGAGAAAGAGCCUGCCUGGGGCUGGACCCUGGUUGUGUGGCUUCAGGGCAGGACCCGAUCUCGGAGGAGCUGCAAAUCUCGGCAUGCUCGACAAAUUCCAGCAGGGCAUGAAUCAUGGGCUCCUGCCUCGUGAGGGCCCUCCUCUGCCAAUGGGGCUGGUGGAGCUCUGGGGCUCGCCUGCUGCUCAGCUUGGAGGCAGAGCCGGGCCUGACGGAGUCCUCCCUGCACAUUCCAGAGAAGCUCAAGCCAGCUUUCCCCCCGGGAUCUCACCUGACACUGCAAGGCAGAGUGCCCCACGAAGAGAGGGUUUCCUUCGCUUGCCUUUUUGCCCUGGCAAGACUGGCAACCAGGAGUCCGUGAGCACCGGUGCCUCCUCAGGGGUGGCACCUCUUUCUGGGAAGCCACACGGGUCUCAGACAGCUGUGCCCUUCCUGCUGCCCUCCAGCUGCCAGAAGGCCAUAGUUCCCAUGUGCCCUGGAAUGUGGGACUCUCUUUGAGACAUCCACUUGGGGACCUGUCCUCAGGCCCUGGGGUCAGCACACAGGUGGGCAGUUUCUUUGGGCUCAGGGUCAGGCUUCUACUGGUGGGUGAAGGCAGCCCUUUGUCUCAUGUCUUGCCCCAGCGUUCUUGAGUAGCAGGCUCCCUCCCCCAUCCUCUUGGCAGCUGUCCCUCCCUGCUCCCUCCCGGUGACCACAGCCAAGCCAAGAGGCCUGUGCUCUGUUCCCCACACGUCCAUGUAGAGUGGCUGGACACCGGUGUUGAUUGCUGUGGAGGUGGCUGGAGGGAGUGGACAUUCCAUUGUAAUGAUGGCAAAAAUAGCCAUGAUCUUUCAGCCACUGCUGAAACUGCUGGAGUCAGGCCCUUCCCAGGUAUGAUUUGCCCUCCCUGAUGGUGCAUUUGUCUCCCAGAUGUGCAGAUGUGGAAGCCGAUGUCCUGGGGAUCAGGGGAACCUCAUGAGGGAGGAGGCAGGGGGCCAGGACUGGCUCCUGAGCUCUGCAACCCCAGUGUUGCCGUCUGUCUUUUAAUCUUUAAAAAGAAGAUACAAUGAUAUAAUUAGGAUGCGGCAAUCUCAGCACUGGGAGGCCAAGGCGGGGCGGAUCACUUGAGGUCAGGAGUUUGCGACCAGCCUGGCCAACAUGGUGAAAUCCCAUCUCUACUAAAAAUGCAAAAAAAUUAGCCGGGAGUGAUCUCAGCUACUCAGGAGGCUGAGGCAGGAGGAUCGCUUGAACCGGGGAGGCGGAGGUUGCAGUGAGCCGAGAUCGCACCACUGCACUCCAGCCUGGGCAACAGGGCAAGAUUGUGUCUCAAAAAAAACAACAAAAACAAAACCAAUAAUAAUAAUUAGAAUGCUGA